AAAGCCAUCUCUAUCUUUCCACCCCAGUGGUGGAACAUUCUAUUUCCAAAAGAGAUAAUAACAGUGAGGUUUCUAUUACCAAAAGAAGGCUGAACUAUGAAUUUGAGAAUAACAGGUCAGCUGAAAAUUGAACGCCAUAAUAAAUAUAUUUAACAACAAUCAUAAUAACAAAAAUUUUCCAAAUUCAUUACCUUGAAAAUGUGGAAAACACCUUGGAUGAAUAUUUUUUGGAUCUCCACAAUAAACCUCGUGAAUUGUUGAGAGAGAUUCAAGACUCAAAGAAGAAAACUGAGCAAAGCAACAAUAGAUAAGAUGAUAUUUACUGACAAUGGACUGGCUAUUGGGGUAGUCCAGAUAUGGAAGGUUAGCAUUCACUUUGGGGAUAUGGCUAUGGAAAUGGAGAAGCAGCAGAUUCAAGAAGCAACAACAAGAAAAACCCAUUUAUGUCUCCAUCUACUGCUAUUAAAUCUGGGCCAAAUUUGGAGCAUUGGGCCCACAAGCUGUAUAGUUCAGUACUCUGAGCACAGUGGGGAUUCAAUAAAAGUUGAUGAUGUUGGGAAGUAAUAAAA
Antechinus flavipes (yellow-footed antechinus) is the source of this 569-nucleotide long non-coding RNA. RefSeq lists it as uncharacterized. The record is from RefSeq and is a predicted model, not a curated record. Lineage: Eukaryota; Metazoa; Chordata; Mammalia; Dasyuromorphia; Dasyuridae. The transcript is spliced from 2 exons.